UGCAUAUUCAAAAAGCGGAGGAAAAGAAACCAACAGGGAUUGCCUUAGUAACGGCGAGUGAAGCGGCAAGAGCUCAAAUUUGAAAUCUAGCACUUUCAGUGUUCGAGUUGUAAUUUGAAGAAGGUAUCUUUGGAGUUGGCCCCUGUCUAUGUUCCUUGGAACAGGACGUCACAGAGGGUGAGAAUCCCGUGCGAUGGGGAGACCAAUUCUUUGUAAAGUUCCUUCGAAGAGUCGAGUUGUUUGGGAAUGCAGCUCUAAGUGGGUGGUAAAUUCCAUCUAAAGCUAAAUAUUGGCGAGAGACCGAUAGCGAACAAGUACAGUGAUGGAAAGAUGAAAAGAACUUUGAAAAGAGAGUGAAAAAGUACGUGAAAUUGUUGAAAGGGAAGGGCUUUUGAUCAGACUUGGUGUUUAACGAUCUCUUCUCCUUGUGGGAGGGGCUCUUGUUUUAUACUGGGCCAGCAUCGGUUUGGAUGGCAGGAUAAUGACAUUGGAACGUGGCUUCAUUCGUGAAGUGUUAUAGCCUUUGUUGAUACUGCCUAUCUAGACCGAGGACUGCGUCUUGACUAGGAUGCUGCGUGUGUGAGGCG
Molecule: ribosomal RNA, 587 nt
Filed under: Nakazawaea molendinolei
Lineage: Eukaryota; Fungi; Ascomycota; Pichiomycetes; Alaninales; Pachysolenaceae
Description: eukaryotic LSU rRNA
Rfam family: Eukaryotic large subunit ribosomal RNA
Source: RNAcentral